Molecule: non-coding RNA, 30 nt
Filed under: Mus musculus (house mouse)
Lineage: Eukaryota; Metazoa; Chordata; Mammalia; Rodentia; Muridae
Source: RNAcentral
UAGAUCAUUUACUUGUGUCUGGAGCCUUUA